This 72-nucleotide transfer RNA is filed under the name Camelus ferus (Wild Bactrian camel). It matches the Rfam family "tRNA". Rfam says of the family: Transfer RNA (tRNA) molecules are approximately 80 nucleotides in length. Their secondary structure includes four short double-helical elements and three loops (D, anti-codon, and T loops). Lineage: Eukaryota; Metazoa; Chordata; Mammalia; Artiodactyla; Camelidae. The record is from Rfam by way of RNAcentral.
GUGGGUAUAGCUCAGUGGUAGAGCACGUGAUUUGCAUGUACAAGGUCCUGGGUUCAAGCCCCAAUACCUCCA